GACGAACGCUGGCGGCGUGCUUAACACAUGCAAGUCGAACGGAAAGGCCCUGCUUUUGUGGGGUGCUCGAGUGGCGAACGGGUGAGUAACACGUGAGUAACCUGCCCUUGACUUUGGGAUAACUUCAGGAAACUGGGGCUGAUACCGGAUAGGAGCUCCUGCUGCAUGGUGGGGGUUGGAAAGUUUCGGCGGUUGGGGAUGGACUCGCGGCUUAUCAGCUUGUUGGUGGGGUAGUGGCUUACCAAGGCUUUGACGGGUAGCCGGCCUGAGAGGGUGACCGGCCACAUUGGGACUGAGAUACGGCCCAGACUCCUACGGGAGGCAGCAGUGGGGAAUAUUGCACAAUGGGCGGAAGCCUGAUGCAGCAACGCCGCGUGCGGAAUGACGGCCUUCGGGUUGUAAACCGCUUUCGCCUGUGACGAAGCGUGAGUGACGGUAAUGGGUAAAGAAGCACCGGCUAACUACGUG
Molecule: ribosomal RNA, 468 nt
Filed under: uncultured bacterium
Lineage: Bacteria
Description: partial 16S ribosomal RNA
Rfam family: Bacterial small subunit ribosomal RNA
Source: RNAcentral